GACGAACGCUGGCGGCGUGCCUAACACAUGCAAGUCGAACGGAGACAUUCUUGUAGUAAUACGAGAAUGUUUUAGUGGCGGACGGGUGAGUAACGCGUGAGGAACCUACCUUGGAGUGGGGGAUAACACAGGGAAACCUGUGCUAAUACCGCAUAAUAUGGAGAGAUGGCAUCAUUUUUCCAUCAAAGAUUAAUCGCUCUGAGAUGGCCUCGCGUCUGAUUAGAUAGUUGGCGGGGUAACGGCCCACCAAGUCUGCGAUCAGUAGCCGGACUGAGAGGUUGAACGGCCACAUUGGGACUGAGACACGGCCCAGACUCCUACGGGAGGCAGCAGUGGGGAAUAUUGCGCAAUGGGGGAAACCCUGACGCAGCAACGCCGCGUGAAGGAUGAAGGUUUUCGGAUUGUAAACUUCUUUGACGAGGGACGAAAGAAAUGACGGUACCUCGAAAACAAGCUCCGGCUAACUACGUG
RNAcentral lists this ribosomal RNA (471 nucleotides) under uncultured organism. Its description in RNAcentral is "bacterial SSU rRNA". It matches the Rfam family "Bacterial small subunit ribosomal RNA", at positions 28 to 507 of the family's 1533-position model. The record is from RNAcentral.